CGGAGGAUGCAAGCGUUAUCCGGAUUUAUUGGGUUUAAAGGGUGCGUAGGCGGAUGAAUAAGUCAGUGGUGAAAGCCUGCAGCUUAACUGUAGAAUUGCCAUUGAUACUGUUUAUCUUGAGUACAGCUGAGGUGGGCGGAAUAUGACAUGUAGCGGUGAAAUGCUUAGAUAUGUCAUAGAACACCGAUUGCGAGGGCAGCUCACUAAACUGUCACUGACGCUGAGGCACGAAAGCGUGGGGAGCAAACAGGAUUAGAUACCCUGGUAGUCCACGCCCUAAACUAUGAUCACUCGAUGUUGGCGAUACACUGUCAGCGUCUAAGGGAAACCAUUAAGUGAUCCACCUGGGGAGUACGGUCGCAAGACUG
Molecule: ribosomal RNA, 368 nt
Filed under: uncultured organism
Description: bacterial SSU rRNA
Rfam family: Bacterial small subunit ribosomal RNA
Source: RNAcentral